Molecule: ribosomal RNA, 1059 nt
Filed under: uncultured Cryobacterium sp.
Lineage: Bacteria; Bacillati; Actinomycetota; Actinomycetes; Micrococcales; Microbacteriaceae
Description: bacterial SSU rRNA
Rfam family: Bacterial small subunit ribosomal RNA
Source: RNAcentral
UCCUACGGGAGGCAGCAGUGGGGAAUAUUGCACAAUGGGCGCAAGCCUGAUGCAGCAACGCCGCGUGAGGGACGAAGGCCUUCGGGUUGUAAACCUCUUUUAGUAGGGAAGAAGCGACUGGGUUUUCCUGGGAGUGACGGUACCUGCAGAAAAAGCACCGGCUAACUACGUGCCAGCAGCCGCGGUAAUACGUAGGGUGCAAGCGUUGUCCGGAAUUAUUGGGCGUAAAGAGCUCGUAGGCGGUUUGUCGCGUCUGCUGUGAAAACCCGAGGCUCAACCUCGGGCCUGCAGUGGGUACGGGCAGACUAGAGUGCGGUAGGGGAGAUUGGAAUUCCUGGUGUAGCGGUGGAAUGCGCAGAUAUCAGGAGGAACACCAAUGGCGAAGGCAGAUCUCUGGGCCGUAACUGACGCUGAGGAGCGAAAGCAUGGGGAGCGAACAGGAUUAGAUACCCUGGUAGUCCUUGCCGUAAACGUUGGGAACUAGAUGUGGGGACCAUUCCACGGUCUCCGUGUCGCAGCUAACGCGUUAAGUUCCCCGCCUGGGGAGUACGGCCGCAAGGCUAAAACUCAAAGGAAUUGACGGGGGCCCGCACAAGCGGCGGAGCAUGCGGAUUAAUUCGAUGCAACGCGAAGAACCUUACCAAGGCUUGACAUAUACCGGAAACGGCUGGAAACAGUCGCCCCGCAAGGUCGGUAUACAGGUGGUGCAUGGUUGUCGUCAGCUCGUGUCGUGAGAUGUUGGGUUAAGUCCCGCAACGAGCGCAACCCUCGUCCUAUGUUGCCAGCACGUAAUGGUGGGAACUCAUGGGAUACUGCCGGGGUCAACUCGGAGGAAGGUGGGGAUGACGUCAAAUCAUCAUGCCCCUUAUGUCUUGGGCUUCACGCAUGCUACAAUGGCCGGUACAAAGGGCUGCGAUACCGCAAGGUGGAGCGAAUCCCAAAAAGCCGGUCUCAGUUCGGAUUGAGGUCUGCAACUCGACCUCAUGAAGUCGGAGUCGCUAGUAAUCGCAGAUCAGCAACGCUGCGGUGAAUACGUUCCCGGGCCUUGUACACACCGCC